GAGGGAAGAAGUUUAUUGACGGUACCUCAUGAAUAAGGGGCUCCUAAUCUCGUGCCAGCAGGAGCGGUAAUACGAGAGCCCCGAGCGUUAUCCGGAAUUAUUGGGCGUAAAGGGUGCGUAGGUGGCACUGUUAGUCGAUUGUUAAAACUUGGGGCUUAACCCCAAAGAUGCGAUCGAAACGGCAGAGCUAGAGAGUGUGAGGGGUGAAUGGAACUCAUGGUGUAGGGGUGAAAUCCGUUGAUAUCAUGGGGAACACCAAAAGCGAAGGCAAUUCACUGGCACAUAUCUGACACUCAAGCACGAAAGCGUGGGUAGCGAAUGGGAUUAGAUACCCCAGUAGUCCACGCCCUAAACGAUGUUCAUUAGUCUUUCGGAGUAUCGACCCUCUGAGAGACGUAGCUAACGCGUUAAAUGAACCGCCUGGGAAGUACGGCCGCAAGGCUAAAACUCAAAGGAAUAGACGGGGACUUGCACAAGCGGUGGAUUAUGUGGUUUAAUUCGAUGAUAAACGAAGAACCUUACCAAGGUUAGAAAUCAACGUGAAAGCCCCAAGAAACUGGGGCCCUCGCAAGACUAGUUGACAGGUGAUGCAUGGCCGUCGUCAGUUCGUGGUUUGAAUUGUUCCCUUAAGUGGGGUAACGAACGCAACCCUCGUCGUGUGUUAUAAGUGUCACACGAGACUGCCCCGACCCAAGUUUUUGAACAUAUGUUCGAAAGUUUCGGUCGGGGAGGAAGGGGAGGAUGACGCCAGGUCAGCAUGUCCCUUGAUACCUUGGGCUACACACAUAAUACAAUCGCCACUACAACGGGCAGCGACGGAGUAAUCCUGAGCGAAUCCUAAUAAAAGUGGCGUCAGUUCGGAUUGGGGGCUGCAACUCGACCCCAUGAAGCUGGAAUCGCUAGUAAUCGCGGGUCAGAUAUACCGCGGUGAAUACGUUCUCAAGUCUUGUACUCACCGCCCGUCAAUUCAAGGGAGCCGGGAAUACCCGAAAUCUCUCCAAAAGGAGGGCCUACGGUAAGCUCGGUGACAGGGAAUAAGUCGUAACAAGGCACGGCUAGCGGAAGCUGGUCGUGGAAUAAUUCAAUU
RNAcentral lists this ribosomal RNA (1087 nucleotides) under Minisyncoccota bacterium. RNAcentral describes it as "bacterial SSU rRNA". It matches the Rfam family "Bacterial small subunit ribosomal RNA", at positions 440 to 1533 of the family's 1533-position model. Lineage: Bacteria; Bacillati; Minisyncoccota. The record is from RNAcentral.